This 492-nucleotide ribosomal RNA is filed under the name uncultured bacterium. Its description in RNAcentral is "partial 16S ribosomal RNA". It matches the Rfam family "Bacterial small subunit ribosomal RNA", at positions 29 to 507 of the family's 1533-position model. The record is from RNAcentral.
AGUGAACGCUGGCGGUAGGCCUAACACAUGCAAGUCGAACGGCAGCACAGUAAGAGCUUGCUCUUACGGGUGGCGAGUGGCGGACGGGUGAGGAAUACAUCGGAAUCUACUUUUUCGUGGGGGAUAACGUAGGGAAACUUACGCUAAUACCGCAUACGACCUACGGGUGAAAGCAGGGGAUCUUCGGACCUUGCGCGAUUGAAUGAGCCGAUGUCGGAUUAGCUAGUUGGCGGGGUAAAGGCCCACCAAGGCGACGAUCCGUAGCUGGUCUGAGAGGAUGAUCAGCCACACUGGAACUGAGACACGGUCCAGACUCCUACGGGAGGCAGCAGUGGGGAAUAUUGGACAAUGGGCGCAAGCCUGAUCCAGCCAUGCCGCGUGGGUGAAGAAGGCCUUCGGGUUGUAAAGCCCUUUUGUUGGGAAAGAAAAGCAGCAGGUUAAUACCCUGCUGUUCUGACGGUACCAAAAGAAUAAGCACCGGCUAACUUCGUG